GGAUUUUGAGUUUCUAAUGGAAUUAUGGUGAAUGAUAUUAGGGAUUUGGGAGAUGUAGAAUUGUUUCUGUUAAUGAUGUUCUGGAAAUCUGAUUUGAAAUCCAUUGAUUUUGGGAUUUUCUUUUGUGUGAUUGAACGGGGUGAGGGCAGAACCAUAGUAUGCUAGGAGUUUUGGGUUGAGGUUUCCUUUUGAUUUUCUUUAUGAUCACGCACAUAAGGACUGUUAGGUAGCAUGCUUGUUAGGUUUUGUGUCUUGUUUGAUGAGAAACAACUUUAAUCACUUAUUUUGGAACAUAAAACGGACUGGUCAUUUUCCUGGUAUGAACCGUGACUUUCGAAGCCUUUUAGAGCCUGUUUAGAGUGCUCGAAUAAUGUUGCGUUGAACUGAGAAAGUGUAGGCCUUUGAAAGAGCUUUCUGGAAUGAUAUGGUACAUAAUUUUUGGUUGAGAGACGAGGUCUGUAAGUUCAGUUUAGUAAACCAUGUUUUUCUGCGCUCUGUAUCUGCUAUCUCUGCCAGUGAACUUCAACGUGAUUUUUCACCUUGUUAAUGUGCCCAGAAAAUUCUUUGAUGAACUAGAAAGAGGUAAUUAGGAGGAGUAGUCUAUAGCCUUUAUUUCGAGUUGGAGUCCUUGCUCUGAUACGUAGCACUCGGGGGGGAAAUGGACGCUUGUUUUCCUUCUGUUAUAAUUUGAAUUAAGUUGUUAUUUGAGAAGUUGUUUCUGUUUUAAGUUGUGGGCAAGAUACUAUGUUUUCUUUAAGUUUUAAAGACACUGGAUUCGCUGCAUAACUAUUUGUCAAAGUGAACUAGUUCAAAGACUAAUUAACUGUCACAAGAGCAUUUAAGUUUAUUUAUGAGUUCAUCUCAAAGUUUAUGUGCUAUGUAUCUGUUACAGGAGCAUUAUGAUAAUGUUUUAAGUGAUUAUGUAAUGCCCCAUGAGUGUUAGAAUU
Molecule: long non-coding RNA, 947 nt
Organism: Lotus japonicus
Lineage: Eukaryota; Viridiplantae; Streptophyta; Magnoliopsida; Fabales; Fabaceae
Exons: 2
Source: RefSeq, a predicted model, not a curated record